GUCUGUAGCCAUACCACCCUGAACGUGCCCGAUCUCAUCUGAUCUUGGAAGCUAAGCAUGGUCGGCCCUGGUUAGUACUUGGAUGGGAGAUUUAAUGCAAUCUCUAUCAAACUACCACCA
Molecule: ribosomal RNA, 120 nt
Filed under: Octodon degus (degu)
Lineage: Eukaryota; Metazoa; Chordata; Mammalia; Rodentia; Octodontidae
Source: RNAcentral